Molecule: ribosomal RNA, 651 nt
Filed under: Hepatozoon canis
Lineage: Eukaryota; Apicomplexa; Hepatozoidae
Description: bacterial SSU rRNA
Rfam family: Eukaryotic small subunit ribosomal RNA
Source: RNAcentral
AUGAGCAAAAUCUCAACUUUAUUAGAAGAGACGCAUUUAUUAGAUAAAAAGCCAAUGCAUGCUUUUACAGUAUGAAAAUUGGUGAUUUAUAAUAACUUAGCAAAUCGCAAAGUGAAAACAGGCGAUAAAUCAUUCAAGUUUCUGACCUAUCAGCUUUCGACGGUAUGGUAUUGGCUUACCGUGGCAGUGACGGUUAACGGGGGAUUAGGGUUCGAUUCCGGAGAGGGAGCCUGAGAAACGGCUACCACAUCUAAGGAAGGCAGCAGGCGCGCAAAUUACCCAAUUCUAACAGUUUGAGAGAGGUUGUAACAAGAAAUAACAAUACAAGGCAGUUAAAAUGCUUUGUAAUUGGAAUGAUAGAUAUUUAAACCCUUUUUAAAGUAUCAAUUGGAGGGCAAGUCUGGUGCCAGCAGCCGCGGUAAUUCCAGCUCCAAUAGCGUAUAUUAAAAUUGUUGCAGUUAAAAAGCUCGUAGUUGAAGUUCUGCUAAAAGUGACCGGUCUGCUUUGAAUAAAAGUGGUAUCUUGGUAUGUAUUUAGCAAUGAUGUCCUUUGAAGUGUUUUUUACUUUAUUGUAAUAAAGCAUAUUCAGGACUUUUACUUUGAGAAAAUUAGAGUGCUUCUAGCAGGCCAACGCUUUGAAUACUGCAGCAU